UUAAAUUGAAGAGUUUGAUCAUGGCUCAGAUUGAACGCUGGCGGCAGGCCUAACACAUGCAAGUCGAACGGUAACAGGAAGCAGCUUGCUGCUUUGCUGACGAGUGGCGGACGGGUGAGUAAUGUCUGGGAAACUGCCCGAUGGAGGGGGAUAACUACUGGAAACGGUAGCUAAUACCGCAUAACGUCGCAAGACCAAAGAGGGGGACCUUAGGGCCUCUUGCCAUCGGAUGUGCC
RNAcentral lists this ribosomal RNA (236 nucleotides) under Escherichia coli. RNAcentral's name for it is "partial 16S ribosomal RNA". It matches the Rfam family "Bacterial small subunit ribosomal RNA", at positions 1 to 231 of the family's 1533-position model. Lineage: Bacteria; Pseudomonadati; Pseudomonadota; Gammaproteobacteria; Enterobacterales; Enterobacteriaceae. The record is from RNAcentral.